Acanthosepion pharaonis is the source of this 108-nucleotide non-coding RNA. Lineage: Eukaryota; Metazoa; Mollusca; Cephalopoda; Sepiida; Sepiidae. The record is from the annotation of a GenBank genome assembly.
UAUGGCCAUAUCACCCUGAAACACUGGUUCUCGUAUGAUCACUGAAGUUAAGCAAGUACUGGUCUGUACCUAGAUGGGUGACUGCUUGGGAAUACCAAGUGGUGUAAG